This is a non-coding RNA of Podarcis lilfordi (Lilford's wall lizard), 74 nucleotides long. Lineage: Eukaryota; Metazoa; Chordata; Lepidosauria; Squamata; Lacertidae. The record is from the annotation of a GenBank genome assembly.
GACCAAAAUGGCUCAGGCAGUAGAGCAGCAAACUCUUGAUCUCAGUGUUGUGGGUUCGAGCCCCACAUUGGGCA